Molecule: ribosomal RNA, 253 nt
Filed under: uncultured bacterium
Lineage: Bacteria
Description: partial 16S ribosomal RNA
Rfam family: Bacterial small subunit ribosomal RNA
Source: RNAcentral
UACAGAGGUCUCAAGCGUUGUUCGGAUUCAUUGGGCGUAAAGGGUGCGUAGGCGGCGCGGUAAGUCGGGUGUGAAAUCUCGGAGCUUAACUCCGAAACUGCAUUCGAUACUGCCGUGCUUGAAGACUGGAGAGGAGACUGGAAUUUACGGUGUAGCGGUGAAAUGCGUAGAUAUCGUAAGGAAGACCAGUGGCGAAGGCGGGUCUCUGGACAGUUCCUGACGCUGAGGCACGAAGGUCAGGGGAGCAAACGGG